GUCCACACAGUAAACGAUGAAUACUCGCUGUUUGCGAUAUACAGCAAGCGGCCAAGCGAAAGCAUUAAGUAUUCCACCUGGGGAGUACGCCGGCAACGGUGAAACUCAAAAGGAAUUGACGGGGGCCCGCACAAGCGGAGGAACAUGUGGUUUAAUUCGAUGAUACGCGAGGAACCUUACCCGGGCUUAAAUUGCAUUUGAAUAUAGUGGAAACAUUAUAGCCGCAAGGCAAAUGUGAAGGUGCUGCAUGGUUGUCGU
RNAcentral lists this ribosomal RNA (258 nucleotides) under uncultured bacterium. RNAcentral describes it as "partial 16S ribosomal RNA". It matches the Rfam family "Bacterial small subunit ribosomal RNA", at positions 793 to 1055 of the family's 1533-position model. The record is from RNAcentral.